GGAUUAUAUACCCUGGUAGUCCACGCAGUAAACGAUGAGUGCUAGUCGCUGGUACAAUAGUAUCAGUGUCGUAGCUAACGCAUUAAGCACUACGCCUGGGAAGUACGGUCGCAAGAUUAAAACUCAAAUAAAUUGACGGGGGCCCGCACAAGCGGUGGAGCAUGUGGUUUAAUUCGAAGCAACGCGAAGAACCUUACCAGACCUUGACAUGGUAUGUUUGAAUUACAGAAUCGUAAUUCUUCAGUUCGGCUGGCAUGCACACAGGUGCUGCAUGGCUGUCGUCAGCUCGUGCCG
RNAcentral lists this ribosomal RNA (294 nucleotides) under uncultured bacterium. RNAcentral's name for it is "partial 16S ribosomal RNA". It matches the Rfam family "Bacterial small subunit ribosomal RNA", at positions 775 to 1067 of the family's 1533-position model. The record is from RNAcentral.